GUGCUCAUGUUAACAACACAUAUACUAAAAUUUGAAUGAUACAGAGAAGAUUAGUGUGGCCCCUGUGCAAGGAUGACAUGCAAAUUCAUGGUGUUCCAUAUUUUU
Molecule: small nuclear RNA, 105 nt
Organism: Hippopotamus amphibius kiboko
Lineage: Eukaryota; Metazoa; Chordata; Mammalia; Artiodactyla; Hippopotamidae
Source: RefSeq, a predicted model, not a curated record